AUCGGGACUGUAUCAAAGUCAUGCGGACAAGGAUGAGCCUGCGUCUGAUUAGCUUGGUUAGGUGGGGUAAAAAGCCUACCAAGGCGACGAUCAGUAGCCGACCUGAGAGGGUGAUCGGCCACACUGGAACUGAGACACGGUCCAGACUCCUACGGGAGGCAGCAGUGGGGAAUAUUGCACAAUGGGCGCAAGCCUGAUGCAGCAACGCCGCGUGAGUGAUGAAGGCCUUCGGGUCGUAAAACUCUGUCCUAAGGGAAGAUAAUGACGGUACCUUAGGAGGAAGCCCCGGCUAACUACGUGCCAGCAGCCGCGGUAAUACGUAGGGGGCAAGCGUUAUCCGGAAUUACUGGGCGUAAAGGGUGCGUAGGUGGCCUGACAAGUCAGGGGUCAAAGGCAACGGCUCAACCGUUGUAAGCCCUUGAAACUGUCGGGCUUGAGUUCAGGAGAGGAAAGCGGAAUUCCUAGUGUAGCGGUGAAAUGCGUAGAUAUUAGGAGGAACACCAGUGGCGAAGG
RNAcentral lists this ribosomal RNA (513 nucleotides) under uncultured bacterium. RNAcentral's name for it is "bacterial SSU rRNA". It matches the Rfam family "Bacterial small subunit ribosomal RNA", at positions 189 to 721 of the family's 1533-position model. The record is from RNAcentral.